This 238-nucleotide ribosomal RNA is filed under the name uncultured bacterium. Its description in RNAcentral is "partial 16S ribosomal RNA". It matches the Rfam family "Bacterial small subunit ribosomal RNA", at positions 96 to 334 of the family's 1533-position model. The record is from RNAcentral.
CGGCGGACGGGUGAGUAACGCGUGGGUAACCUACCCUGUACACACGGAUAACAUACCGAAAGGUAUGCUAAUACGGGAUAAUAUAUUUGAGAGGCAUCUCUUGAAUAUCAAAGGUGAGCCAGUACGGGAUGGACCCGCGUCUGAUUAGCUAGUUGGUAAGGUAACGGCUUACCAAGGCGACGAUCAGUAGCCGACCUGAGAGGGUGAUCGGCCACAUUGGAACUGAGACACGGUCCAA